GAUGAACGCUGGCGGCGUGCUUAACACAUGCAAGUCGAACGCACCUUCGGGUGAGUGGCGGACGGGUGAGUAACGCGUGGGAAUCUGGCCCUAGGAGGGGGACAACGGUUGGAAACGGCCGCUAAUACCCCAUAUGGCGAGAGCUGAAAUGAAUUUUCGCCUGGGGAUGAGCCCGCGUCUGAUUAGCUAGUUGGUGGGGUAAAUGCUCACCAAGGCAUCGAUCAGUAGCUGGUCUGAGAGGACGAUCAGCCACACUGGGACUGAGACACGGCCCAGACUCCUACGGGAGGCAGCAGUGGGGAAUUUUCCGCAAUGGGCGAAAGCCUGACGGAGCAACGCCGCGUGAGGGAUGAAGGCCUUUGGGCUGUAAACC
This 373-nucleotide ribosomal RNA is filed under the name uncultured bacterium. Its description in RNAcentral is "bacterial SSU rRNA". It matches the Rfam family "Bacterial small subunit ribosomal RNA", at positions 28 to 431 of the family's 1533-position model. The record is from RNAcentral.